ACAUUACCUAAUCUUGACAUUGCAGAANCCAGCGGAGAUGCAGGUGUGCCUUCGGGAACUGUAAGUCAGGUGCUGCAUGGCCGUCUUCAGCUCGUGUUGUGUAAUGUUGGGUUAAGUCCCGCAACGAGCGCAACCCUUUUCCUUGUUUGCCAGCACUUCGGGUGGGAACUCCAGGGAGACUGCCGGUGAUAAACCGGAGGAAGGUGGGGACGACGUCAAGUCAUCAUGGCCCUUACGAGUAGGGNUACACACGUGCUACAAUGGCGCAUACAGAGGGCGGCCAACUUGCGAAAGUGAGUGAAUCCCAAAAAGUGCGUCGUAGUCCGGAUUGGAGUAUGCAACUAGACUCCAUGAAGUUGGAGUCGUUAGUAAUCGUGGAUCAGCCACCCCCGGUGAAUAUGUUCCCGGGCUUUGUACACCCCGCCCGUCACACCAUGGGAGUGGGCUCCAAAAGAAGUGGGUAGUUUUACCCUCGGGAGGACGCUCACCACUUCGUGGUUCCGANGGGGGAUAAGNNGCAACAAGGAACCGAAGGGGGAA
Molecule: ribosomal RNA, 540 nt
Filed under: uncultured bacterium
Lineage: Bacteria
Description: bacterial SSU rRNA
Rfam family: Bacterial small subunit ribosomal RNA
Source: RNAcentral